AAUGAACGCUGGCGGCAGGCCUAACACAUGCAAGUCGAACGGAUCCUUCGGGAUUAGUGGUGGACGGGUGAGUAACGCGUGGGAACAUACCCUUUGGUACGGAAUAGCCUCGGGAAACUGGGAGUAAUACCGUAUGUGGUCGAGAGACGAAAGAUUUAUCGCCAAAGGAUUGGCCCGCGUUGGAUUAGGUAGUUGGUGGGGUAAUGGCCUACCAAGCCGACGAUCCAUAGCUGGUUUGAGAGGAUGAUCAGCCACACUGGGACUGAGACACGGCCCAGACUACUACGGGAGGCAGCAGUGGGGAAUCUUAGACAAUGGGGGAAACCCUGAUCUAGCCAUGCCGCGUGAUCGAUGAAGGCCUUAGGGUUGUAAAGAUCUUUCAGGUGGGAAGAUAAUGACUGUACCACCAGAAGAAGCCCCGGCUAACUCCGUGCCAGCAGCCGCCGUAA
This 449-nucleotide ribosomal RNA is filed under the name uncultured bacterium. RNAcentral's name for it is "partial 16S ribosomal RNA". It matches the Rfam family "Bacterial small subunit ribosomal RNA", at positions 29 to 523 of the family's 1533-position model. The record is from RNAcentral.